Long non-coding RNA from Canis lupus familiaris (dog), 794 nucleotides. RefSeq lists it as uncharacterized. The transcript has 5 exons. The record is from RefSeq and is a predicted model, not a curated record. Lineage: Eukaryota; Metazoa; Chordata; Mammalia; Carnivora; Canidae.
GGCAAGAGUUCACGAAGAGGCCACCCUUUGAAACAGAAAGCAGUAAGAGCCAACACAAAAGGGACGAGCCCCGACACUACGGACCCAUCCCUGAAGAGAUUUCAUGCAGAGAGCCUGGAAGCAAAUGUGAAGGAAAUUAAAAAACAAAACAAAGCAAAGUAACUAACGUACCCACAGUCCCCAGGCAUCAAGAUGAGAAAUGCCAUUGUAGCUGGUGACUUCGUAUAGGAUGGAGCAGUCUGCCAUUUUCCAAAUGUGAAUGGUUCACAGGCCAUACCUUCUUCUGGAACAGCUACAAUGCUUCACCCAGACCGAUGCACAUCACAUCAGAGAGGAAGACACAUGUGUGAUUCAUUUUGCUAAGCCUCAAGUCUAAGGAUUUACCUAAGGACCCAGGAAUGUUGUGAGGCUGCUCUUGAUCCGCACUGAGAAGGAUAUUGAAGCAGCAGCCUCUGGUAAGAAGAUACGUUGAAACCAGAGAAGACCUCAUCACAGGGCACACAGCGGAGCAGGACUGCCUAGUAAGGGUAUUCUUGAAAACCAACACCUCCUCCCUUGGCCCACCCGGGGUGUCCUCAGGCCAUCUCCGCCAGUGGAUCAAGUCACACCCUUUGGGCUGCCACCAACUGUGGGACGGCCUGCCCGCUGCUUCUUGGCUGCUCCCAGAUUGGCCACUUUCCUUCUGGGAAUACCACUACAUCCACCAGUCAUGGCAUGCUUGCUUAUGCGAUUGAAAGACCAGACAAUGCCUAGUUUAAUCCAGUGUAAUUUAAUAAAUAUCCAUUAAACACUUA